This 253-nucleotide ribosomal RNA is filed under the name uncultured bacterium. RNAcentral's name for it is "partial 16S ribosomal RNA". It matches the Rfam family "Bacterial small subunit ribosomal RNA", at positions 524 to 776 of the family's 1533-position model. The record is from RNAcentral.
GACGAACCGUACGAACGUUAUUCGGAAUCACUGGGCUUAAAGGGUGCGUAGGCUGCGCGGAAAGUUGGGUGUGAAAUCCCUCGGCUUAACCGAGGAACUGCGCCCAAAACUACCGUGCUCGAGGGAGACAGAGGUGAGCGGAACUUAGGGUGGAGCGGUGAAAUGCGUUGAUAUCCUAAGGAACACCGGUGGCGAAAGCGGCUCACUGGGUCUCUUCUGACGCUGAGGCACGAAAGCUAGGGUAGCGAACGGG